This 243-nucleotide unclassified non-coding RNA is filed under the name Haliotis rufescens (red abalone). RNAcentral's name for it is "translation initiation factor IF-2-like, transcript variant X2". Lineage: Eukaryota; Metazoa; Mollusca; Gastropoda; Lepetellida; Haliotidae. The record is from RNAcentral.
UCAGGGGUGUACAGACUGGGUAAAGUUGAAAAACAGAUAGGACGUCAGCAGAGGUACACAGUAACAUGGGAGGAUGGCAAGUGCGGUGAACAGAUGUCCAUCCACAUCUAUGGAACCUACACCAAGACGAUCAAGUUCAAGGUCGACAGCUACAUCCUGGCACUUGCUGACCCUGACAACAACUAUUUUCCUUCCGGGUGAAGUGACAAGGGUCCACGAAGAUGGAGAUGUUCAAAGGCUACA